GCGAAGAGGUCACACCCGUUCCCAUGCCGAACACGGAAGUUAAGCUCUUCAGCGCCGAUGGUAGUCGGGGGUUUCCCCCUGUGAGAGUAGGA
Molecule: ribosomal RNA, 92 nt
Filed under: Bacillus velezensis
Lineage: Bacteria; Bacillati; Bacillota; Bacilli; Caryophanales; Bacillaceae
Source: RNAcentral